Molecule: ribosomal RNA, 465 nt
Filed under: uncultured bacterium
Lineage: Bacteria
Description: partial 16S ribosomal RNA
Rfam family: Bacterial small subunit ribosomal RNA
Source: RNAcentral
GACGAACGCUGGCGGCGUGCUUAACACAUGCAAGUCGAACGGAAAGGCCCUGCUUGCAGGGUACUCGAGUGGCGAACGGGUGAGUAACACGUGGGUGAUCUGCCCUGCACUUCGGGAUAAGCCUGGGAAACUGGGUCUAAUACCGGAUAGGAGCCAUUUUUAGUGUGAUGGUUGGAAAGUUUUUUCGGUGUAGGAUGAGCUCGCGGCCUAUCAGCUUGUUGGUGGGGUAAUGGCCUACCAAGGCGGCGACGGGUAGCCGGCCUGAGGGGGUGGACGGCCACAUUGGGACUGAGAGACGGCCCAGACUCCGACGGGAGGCAGCAGUGGGGAAUAUUGCACAAUGGGCGCAAGCCUGAUGCAGCGACGCCGCGUGGGGGAUGACGGCCUUCGGGUUGUAAACUCCUUUCGCUAGGGACGAAGCUUUUUGUGACGGUACCUAGAUAAGAAGCACCGGCUAACUACGUG